Molecule: ribosomal RNA, 226 nt
Filed under: uncultured bacterium
Lineage: Bacteria
Description: partial 16S ribosomal RNA
Rfam family: Bacterial small subunit ribosomal RNA
Source: RNAcentral
GCGUUAAUCGGAAUUACUGGGCGUAAAGGGCGCGUAGGUGGUUUGAUAAGUCGGAUGUGAAAUCCCCGGGCUUAACCUGGGAACUGCAUUCGAAACUAUUUGACUAGAGUUUGAGAGAGGGAAGUGGAAUUCCACAUGUAGCGGUGAAAUGCGUAGAUAUGUGGAGGAACAUCAGUGGCGAAGGCGGCUUCCUGGCUUAAAACUGGCACUGAGGCGCGAAAGCGUG